CCUACGGGUGGCAGCAGUGAGGAAUAUUGGUCAAUGGGCGCGAGCCUGAACCAGCCAAGUCGCGGGAGGGAAGACGGUCCGAUGGAGUGUAAACCUCUUUUGUCGGGGAGCAAAAGACGCCACGCGUGGCGUUCCGAGAGUACCCGAAGAAAAAGCAUAGGCUAACUCCGUGCCAGCAGCCGCGGUAAUACGGAGGAUGCGAGCGUUAUCCGGAUUUAUUGGGUUUAAAGGGGGCGCAGGCGGAAGAUCAAGUCAGCGGUAAAAUUGAGAGGCUCAACCUCUUCGAGCCGUUGAAACUGGUUUUCUUGAGUGCGUGAGAAGUAUGCGGACUGCGUGGUGUAGCGGUUACAUGCAUAGAUAUCACGC
Molecule: ribosomal RNA, 366 nt
Filed under: uncultured bacterium
Lineage: Bacteria
Description: partial 16S ribosomal RNA
Rfam family: Bacterial small subunit ribosomal RNA
Source: RNAcentral